Molecule: long non-coding RNA, 295 nt
Organism: Homo sapiens (human)
Lineage: Eukaryota; Metazoa; Chordata; Mammalia; Primates; Hominidae
Exons: 3
Source: RefSeq, a predicted model, not a curated record
AAAUGGAAUCUAUGCAAACCAUCCUCUUUGCUUCCUUUGUGAUGGACACUCCUUAGCUUCUGCGCCUUAAUAAGACAGAUCUUGCUGUGUUGCUCAGCUGAAGUAUGGUGUUGUGAUCAAAACUCACUGCAGCCUGGAACUCCUGGGCUCAAGACAUCCUCCUGCCUUGGCUCCCGAGUAGCUGGGACCACAGGUGCAAGCCUCUGCACUGCAGUGCUCCUCUGCAGCAACCUCAGAACAGUGGCCCACACUCCUAGAAUUUGAGAAAAUGGCAUCUUCUUCAGAGGACAGAGGU